CCUACGGGAGGCAGCAGUGGGGAAUAUUGGUCAAUGGGCGAAAGCCUGAAGCAGCCAAGUAGCGUGAAGGAUGACUGCCCUCGGAGUGUUAACCUCUUUUUUUAGAGAAGUAAAUUAAGGCACGUAACCAUUAUUGAAUGGACUUUACCAUUAAAGAAGGGCUAACUCUGUGCCGGCAGCCGCGGUAAUACGGAGGCUCCGAGCGUUAAUCGGAUUUACUGGGGGUAAAGGGAGCGUAGACGGGUUGUUAAGUCAGUUGUGAAAGCUUGUGGCUCAACCGUAAAACUGCAAUUGAUACUGGCAGUCUUGAGUACAGGAGAGGUAGGUGGAAUUCGUGGUGUAGCGGUGAAAUGCGUAGAUAUCACGAAGAAUACCGAUUGCGAAGGCAGCUUACUAGAACGUAACUGACGCUGAUGCUCGAAAGCGUGGGUAGCAAACAGGAUUAGAUACCCCAGUAGUC
RNAcentral lists this ribosomal RNA (460 nucleotides) under uncultured bacterium. RNAcentral describes it as "partial 16S ribosomal RNA". It matches the Rfam family "Bacterial small subunit ribosomal RNA", at positions 338 to 795 of the family's 1533-position model. The record is from RNAcentral.